This 26-nucleotide non-coding RNA is filed under the name Homo sapiens (human). Lineage: Eukaryota; Metazoa; Chordata; Mammalia; Primates; Hominidae. The record is from RNAcentral.
UCCAUACCUUAGGGUGAGGCAGGCGC